CGGACAUAAAGCCUGGGGUCGUAUUACGCGCCUAAUUUGUAAAACAAUUUUAGCCUUUUGGAGAAAGCUUGCUUUAUUCACCAGCAGUGAGUUGUGAGGUGGAUAAAGGUUCUUUGUUCAACGAAUAGCAGUGCAGAAUUGGAUACUAAAAGUACCCAAUGCUCAAAAAGGACCUAAAAGUGAACAUCCAAGCCAUUCUUGGAUGAAGUUUCUUAGCCACAAGGAGUAUAAUUUAUGUUCUGUCGUAUAAAUAGUGGUGGCUACCUAGAAGGGGCAUAAGUGGGACACGGUAGUGACG
Molecule: long non-coding RNA, 298 nt
Organism: Solanum dulcamara
Lineage: Eukaryota; Viridiplantae; Streptophyta; Magnoliopsida; Solanales; Solanaceae
Exons: 3
Source: RefSeq, a predicted model, not a curated record